Molecule: RNA transcript, 2525 nt
Organism: Fragaria vesca subsp. vesca
Lineage: Eukaryota; Viridiplantae; Streptophyta; Magnoliopsida; Rosales; Rosaceae
Gene name: signal recognition particle receptor subunit alpha homolog
Exons: 9
Source: RefSeq, a predicted model, not a curated record
AAGAAAGCAGAGCUGGCAAGCAAAAGAGACGCUGACAAUAAAGGAUGAGAAUGAAUCGAAAUUUGAAGGAAGCCUAUGAGUUUAGACAGAAAUUUACCCGAUUGCUGCACUGCACGGAGGAGAGAGAGAGAGCGCUUCUUCUUCUUCUUCUUCUUUUAUUUUUUCGUCUCUUUUUAACUCAAGUGAUGAGUAGGUCUUGCUAUUAAACAGACCGAAUUAAAAAGGAAAGAAAAACAAGAGGUAUCGUCCUCUGUCGACGAAGAAGAAGAAAAACGAAGAAGAUGACUUGAACUUCCGUGGGUUUAUGUUGGGCGAUUCGAUUCCGUACAGCUUUAGAAGGUUUUGGAGUUGAUUGAAGAUGUUAGAACAAUUACUGAUAUUUACUAGAGGAGGAUUAAUCCUCUGGACCUGUAGAGAGCUUGGAAAUGCUCUUAAAGGAUCGCCGAUCGAUACCUUGAUCCGGUCCUGUCUUUUGGAGGAACGAUCUGGUGCAGCAUCGUUUGAUUAUACGGCUUCGGGGUCAGCUUACACGCUCAAAUGGACCUUCCAUAAUGAGCUUGGCCUCGUGUUUGUUGUUGUAUACCAGAAGAUCCUCCAUCUCCUGUAUGUGGAUGAUCUGCUUGUGAUGGUGAAGCAGACUUUCUCGGAGAUUUAUGAUCCAAAAAGGACAGUGUAUAAUGAUUUUGAUGAAACUUUCCGACAACUUAGGAAGGAGGCUGAGGCUCGCACUGAGGAAUUGAAGAAGUCCAAGCAGGUGGGUAAGCCUGUGAGUAAUAGUAGGAAGCAAGGGCCGGUGCAGAAGGCUGGAAUUGGAGGAGACAAGAAAAAUAAUGAAGGCGGUUUGGCUAGUGAUGGUGUGGAUGACAAUGCUUUGCAAGGCCGUAAAUUGGAGAAUGGAAUCUCCAAUGGUAAUCAUGUUGUUAGUAAAGAGCCUAAUGUAGUUAGUACUGCUAACAGAAAAGAGAACACUAGUUCCAAUCUCGGGGCUUUUGAUGUAAAUAAGCUUAAGUCUAGAUCAAAGGUUGGAAAGAAAACUGAAAAAUCUGCUACCCUUGAUAGCAAGGGCUCGAAGGCUGAACCAAAAAAGAAGAUAACCAAGAAAAAUAGAGUUUGGGAUGAUUCUCCUCAAGAGUCAUGUGAGUCCAAAUUGGAUUUUACAGAUACUGUGGGUGAGAAUGCAGAUAACAAUAUUGAGGUUGUAGCAGCAGAUCACGGUGAAAGUAUGAUGGAUAGGGAAGAGGAUUACAGUAGUGAAAGUGAGGCUGAAGAGGAAGAGGAAGUUGGAAAGGAAAGCAAGCCUGAUCCAAAAAAGAAAGGAUGGUUUUCAUCUAUGUUCCAGAGUAUUGCAGGCAAGGCAAAUUUGGAGAGGUCGGAUCUGGAACCAGCUUUGAAAGCUCUCAAGGAUAGGCUGAUGACCAAGAAUGUGGCUGAGGAGAUAGCUGAGAAGCUCUGUGAAUCAGUGGCAGCUAGUCUCGAGGGUAAAAAGUUGGGUUCAUUUACAAGAGUAUCUUCUACAGUCCAGGCUGCAAUGGAAGAAGUUCUUGUUCGUAUUUUAACUCCUAGGCGCUCUAUUGAUAUACUGAGGGAUGUGCAUGCUGCCAAGGAGCAGAGGAAGCCUUAUGUAGUUGUUUUUGUUUUCAUCCGAAUGGUUAUUGACAAAUUUCUCUUCCCAGGUUGCCUAUUGGCUCCAGCAGCAUCAGGUUAGUGUUAUGAUGGCUGCCUGUGAUACAUUCCGAUCAGGGGCUGUCGAGCAGCUGCGUACUCAUGCACGUAGACUCCUGAUCCCUAUUUUUGAGAAGGGAUAUGAGAAAGAUCCUGCUGUUGUCGCAAAGGAAGCAAUCCAGGAAGCCAAACUCAAUGGUUCUGAUGUGGUUCUAGUUGACACAGCUGGUCGAAUGCAGAAUAAUGAACCAUUAAUGAGGGCACUAUCAAAGCUUAUCUACAUUAACAAUCCAGAUCUUGUCUUGUUUGUUGGAGAGGCACUGGUUGGGAAUGAUGCUGUUGAUCAGCUUUCCAAGUUUAAUCAGAAACUGGCUGAUCUCUCACCUUCGCCCAACCCCAGAUUGAUAGAUGGAAUAUUGCUCACCAAGUUUGAUACUAUUGAUGAUAAGGUUGGAGCUGCACUGUCGAUGGUUUAUAUAUCUGGAGCCCCAGUCAUGUUUGUUGGGUGUGGGCAGUCCUACACAGACUUGAAAAAGCUGAAUGUGAAGUCGAUUGUCAAGACUGUCCUGAAAUGAGAGAUUUGCAGCAGCUACCUGCUUAAGUUCAUUGGUCAUGUCUUGAAUAUCAUGACACUGUUAUGAAACCGUGUUUGCAGCUCUUCCAUUGACCUGUAUUGCCUCAGUUGACUUGUGUCCUUAAAAACUAGGUGAAUCAAUCAUUUAACUGUCUUCCAAAGAUUUGUUGUAUAAUUUGUUCUCUCUAUGCAACACUCUUACAACUCAUAAUUUCCUAUGUAAAUCAAUAUAGGCCAGUGAACCACAAGUUUCCUAUUCUGUUUGGAAGAGAGAAUAAACCCUGGUAAU